AUUCCUACGGGAGGCAGCAGUGGGGAAUUUUGGACAAUGGGCGAAAGCCUGAUCCAGCCAUGCCGCGUGCGGGAAGAAGGCCUUCGGGUUGUAAACCGCUUUUGUCAGGGAAGAAACGUCUUGGGAUAAUACCCCGAGAUAAUGACGGUACCUGAAGAAUAAGCACCGGCUAACUACGUGCCAGCAGCCGCGGUAAUACGUAGGGUGCAAGCGUUAAUCGGAAUUACUGGGCGUAAAGCGUGCGCAGGCGGUCGUGCAAGACAGAUGUGAAAUCCCCGGGCUUAACCUGGGAACUGCAUUUGUGACUGCACGGCUGGAGUGCGGCAGAGGGGGAUGGAAUUCCGCGUGUAGCAGUGAAAUGCGUAGAGAUAUGGAGGAACAUCGAUGGCGAAGGCAGCUUCCUGGGUUAACACUGACGCUCAUGCACGAAAGCGUGGGGAGCAAACAGGAUUAGAUACCCUGGUAGUCCACGCCCUAAACGAUGCCAACUAGUUGUUGGGGAAGGAGACUUCCUUAGUAACGAAGCUAACGCGUGAAGUUGACCGCCUGGGGAGUACGGCCGCAAGGUUAAAACUCAAAUGAAUUGACGG
RNAcentral lists this ribosomal RNA (590 nucleotides) under uncultured bacterium. RNAcentral's name for it is "bacterial SSU rRNA". It matches the Rfam family "Bacterial small subunit ribosomal RNA", at positions 335 to 916 of the family's 1533-position model. The record is from RNAcentral.